CUUGCGAGCUGACCAGGAACUAAGUUGUGGCGCCGUUGAUCCGAGAGAUUUGGUUGGAUGCUGGUGGUGAGUUGCCGAACCCAACGAAUACAUUCUGAAGUCGGAUGGGGUGACGGAUUAGGGUGCCCCUCUAGCAGGGGAGAGCAGGGAACUGCCUCCAAGGGAAAGGGGGCCGCUGGCGAAGUUAACCACCCUGUAACAACAUACAUACAUACACACACACAAAUUACGUGCACAUAUGCACGCCCCGUUGGUAUCUUGCUUUUUUUCUUCAAGCUGCCGGUCGCAUCACAUUGUAUUGUACCACCAAUUUGAGUUCCUAAAGCCUAAAGCCUAAAGCGGUUUCACCCCAGUUGCGGGUACAUAAGGCCCGUAAGGCCGCAUUACUCUCCAUCCGACUACGCCAUCGUAUAUUACGUCGUCCCACAUAUCUCCGAAACCCCAAUCGUACUGCCGUAUCAGGAACCCCGCAAACUACACGGGCGGCAUUCUUUCCUUCGCGGACGGUGCGGGGAGCGACAACCUCGCCAUUACCCCGCUGUUGCGACGCCGUGUAACCCACAUUGUGGCGUGUACGGCCGCGCUGCACGCCGCCGACCGAAGCCCCGCGGACUGGGCCGUGGGUGAGGAGGCGGCAGAGGGGGCAGAGGGUUAGGGUUAGGGUGGGGAAGAGGUAUACAUAGCGAGGGCCGGGGAGAGUUUGGGGGUUGGGGGGAGAGGUGAGGGAAUAAGGUUAUCACCUUCUCGUCGUCCUCUGGUCUUAGAACAAGGACGUUGUUCAUUUUACUUCAUUUUCACACUCACAACCACCACCCUGGCAGUACACGCGCAUUAUCCACGGCCAUCAGCACUAUCAUCUCACCUCUGCCACCCACCUUUUUCCUAUAUGGGCUCACGCCUUCCCAAGUGUAUGUGUUUUUAUUUCCUUUUACCCCGUCCACUCACGCGCCGUCCCCCUCUUUCACGCUCUCUUCCUGUAGCCCAGUACGACGUCGCCGGAUUGUUUGGUGCCGUACCUCUAAAUGCAACCAGCUAUAAGGGACUCAAAGGCGGACUCACGGGUGUUCAACCCGACGUCUUUAACCGUGCCUUACAGGUAGGCCGUUAGUUGUUAGGUGGUUGGGUAGUUGGGUAAUGGGGGUUUUGUGUACUUCGGGGUUUUAGGGCGGUUGGGUGGCGAUAUGUACUGGGUGGUUAGGUGGUUGGAUGGAGGGGUGGUUGCGCUGUCGGUUGGGAAAGUGGACUGCCUGUAGUGAGUGGUGUUAGCGUUACGUCAAGUUAUCGUGUUAUCCGCUGCCUUUUCUGCUGGUUGUCUGUCCGCAUGUCUGUCCGUCUGUCUGUCCGUCUGUCUGUCCAUCCGUCUGUCCGUCUGUCUGCGUUGCUGUCUGCCUGUCUUGGUGACUGGCCGGUUGGCUGAUGUGGCAGCGGUUGGCUGCUGGGAGGAACGGCUAGUAGGCACAGGCCGGGGUUCAGGUUGUGCAAAGAGGGGAAACGAAAAACACACACGCACGCACACAGCUGCACCCGGUUCCCAAAACCCCCAACGACGAAACCGCGGCGGCAUCCGUACUGUCAGAUAAUCGUACAUGCAUUCUCAGGUAUUCCCGCGAGAAGGGUACGACGAGCUGUACGACACGCUGCGUGGCGGGUUAACAUAUGGGCAGCCUGCCAUUCACCGAGCGUCGUACCCGGUGCUGUCGAAUCCUUCACAAGCCGUUAUUGGCGGUUGGGUGGUUGAGGUGUUAUGGAUCUUCAAUAUGAAGGUACGCCGAUGUGGGGUCCAGGGCUCCUGUAUCUGUCUUUUUUCGAGCGGUUGGUACCGUUGGUUGGUGUAACGCUUGUAUACUACGUUACGACAUCGCGAUUGGUUAGUUGGUGGUUGUUCCCAUCCAGACGAUCUCGUAACUCCACGCCGUACUUCCCAUAACCCAAUCCGUGUCUCCAUUCCACCCUUAACCCAUCAACGAUAAACCACACCCCUUCGUCACACACCCCUCGACAUACCCACCCGACCUGCACAGACUGACCAGUGGGAGCAAAGACUGCCCAAUGACACGCAGGCCUUCUUGAACCUUCAGCGGAACAACACUGGCAGGUGAAAUUUCAACAACUUCCAACUACUAACUAACAACUGACAUGAAGAUGAGGAAAAGCUGCUCACCCCAAAGACAUGAUACAUAUCUUCGUUUUUUUCUCUCUCACAACGUACCUGAGCUAGCCUAACCGAAUCCAACCAAAUCCAUUUAGGCCCAACCGAUAACUGGACUGAUUCAAAAAUUCAAAUUUUCAAACCGAACCUACCAAAAAACUGAUUUACUACUCUGUUUCGCAGCGACCUGCACCAAUACCCCCACAUCUCAACCUACACCGCCAACUAUUCGCCCGAGCUGGUCACACUUCUCAGCCAACAAGCGACUUGGACUGUACUGCAAGCGGCUUCGGAGCUGCUAGAUCUUUUGGAGAUGGCUGGAGUGUCCGCGUCGCCGCCAGCGUCCAGUAUGACAAAUGCAAGCAACAACACCAACGCCACUAACCCCCACGUUAGAAAGAAGAACAGCAACGCCACAACUGCCGGCGUCGGCGCACCUGCGGGUUUCGGAGCCGCCAUAAUGAAUACCACCGCCGCCACGGCAGCGGGGAGGGAACCGGAGAUGCCGUACAACGCAACGACGCAGCAGCCAGUGAACAGAUCGUCUCUGGCGGCCGUGGAGGGACACUCGAUGGCGACGCUCGUACAGUUCGUACAGGCAGAUCCGCAGAAGCAGCUAGCGGGUGUUGCGCCGCAGCUGACGGAGGCAGCACAGCUGGCCGGCGGCUUGCCGGGGGAUGUACGGCAGCCCAGAAAUUCGUACAUUAUGGCGCUUGGAGAGCCGCCGGCGACGAUGAUUCUAUUGCCAGCCACGAACCAGAGCGCCCAGGGCGGCGGCGGGGGGAACGGGGGGAGGAUGGGGCGGUGGUGGCAUGCGGGGCUAGCAUUUUUUGCUGUACAAAUUAGUACGGCAGUGCGGUUGGUGGACCUUGGGGGUGCCACUGGGCGGCGUCGGUUUGGGCGUGUCGGAUGUCGAGCGGAACCUUCUUAUCAGCUGGGGAUGACAUGUACGACAGGGUCUUAAGGUAAAUUUCCACAUCGUAACGUACGCUCGUACACUCGCACGGGACGCAUCAGCACCUUUCUCUUGUGGUACGGUUCAGUACUCAGUAAAUGAUCUAAGCCCUAAAAGCUUUCAUACGUGUCAUACAAAUGGGGUUAGGAGGGAAGGCUGGUGGCGCACUUGGACGCUGCAAGGCUGGAAAUAUGCAAGAUAAGUAGGCUAAAGCUGGUUAUCACUGUAAUAGGUGUUAGCUUGUUGUUUAUUGUUUGCUAUUGAAGCGAUGUGAGAGAUUUGACCCAGGGGACGGGUCGGUGCGGAAAGAGUUGGCUUUAUGCGCGUUGGAUAGCUUACGAACGGAAGGAGUUUGCAUCCUUUACCUCUCCCUUGAGAUGGAAUGCAUCGGCGCAUCAUUUGCAUAACGUGGCCAACGGAAAGCAGUUUUAUCUUGGGUCCCAUGCAUCGGAUUUGCUCACGCCGAGAGAGAAGAAACUGUCUGUCGUGCCCGUGUGCAAAACGAUUGUGGAGAUGAUUCGCUUGCGUGGCACAACUCAUAAGAGUUGCUAACAGUCAAACAUGCUGGCUAAGUCUUUUCCAGUUUAACCUUCAACACAAGCAGACCAUACAAGCUAUCCAUAGCUAGAUGUGGUUGAGUCAUAAUCGUCCUCUUAAUCGUCCUCUGUGCUGCUCCCGAUGCAGCAGCGCAAACGGCGGCCUUUUGCACAGCUUCAGAAGCUCUCAGGCGCGUGUUCCUCCAGUCGCAGCUCCUGCCGCCUUUCGCGACGCCACCAGCACCUCAGCUCCUUUAAAUUCCGGAGACGCAAGCAAGGACGAUUUCGGAGAUGCUGCACUGUUCACGGAGGCUUUUGCUUUGCGUUCUUCUGAGGUCACGCCAAGCAGCUCUGACGUCACGCGCUCCGAACAUUCAGGACUUCUUCACGGCAUCGGUGAAACUGCUGCAAUUGAGAAAGAUUUCAGAUCUGAUAAAGUCGAGGAACUUCAAAUCCAACAAAUCGUUUCGGGAAACUUCUCAGCAGCUGUUGUAAAUGCGGACCAUUCGGGCUCUAUCCAAGCCGCGAAAAAUAGUGCAGAUAGCGAACUCGCCUAUCAACAGCAACGGCAAAAACAGCGGCCCUUGCCGGGUGACCCGGCGGACGCGCUUCCAAACGGACGCGCGACUGCCGUAACUCCGCCCGUUGCGGCGGCGCGGGAGGCCCUCCAGCAGCACCUCAUGCACCACCGCUCUCUCCGGACAGCUCGCUGGAACAGCAUGUACCAGGAUUCCACCGGCGGCGUGAACAUUACUAACGUAACCGGCGGCGGCGACGUUGACGGCAGCGGCGGCGGCAGCGGCGGCGGCAGCGGCGGCAUUAUAGCAAGAGAAAAGGAAGACACAGACGGCCUCGGCAGCGCGGACGCCGACGGAGAGCAGCAUCGCGACGGCAUGGACGUUGGUUGUACGGCGGGCCCAAUGGCAUCAUUUGGCGCGUCUGCUGACGCUACCAACGGCCAGACGCUACUGCCACGCGGGUCACGGCCACCACGGGCGCUGGGACAGCGUUUCAGGCUGCUGCUGCAGCCGGGCCUUGGCGGCGGCGUUGACAACGCCGCCAUGGGGGCGGCGGCGGCGGCGGCGGCGGCGAGAAGCGAUGGCGGGAUGGCGCAGCAGACAGAGGUGGCUGCAGCAGCAGCGGCAGCGGCCCGGUUCCCACCGCCCAUUCGCGAAUCUGCAUCCAAGGCUGCCGCCGCCACCACACGGGAGCCCGAGCCGCCGCCGCCGCCGCAGCAGCAGCAGCAGCAGCAGCAGCGUGGCCGUCACCGGCCGGCGGGUGCCUUGCCGCUGCCGCCGCGGGUCGUUCCCAUCAGCGACGCUAAGCAGCAGCACCAGCGGCGGCGACAGUGUGAGGCUCCGGGCGCUGAAUCAGUGGCGGCGCCAUCGGAAGGUACGGCAUUGGAACGAGGCCAGGCAACGGCGCAGGAGCUAACAGCUGAAGCAGUAGCAGCGCCACAUGGACGAGCUUGGCGGCCUUUUGGCCCGCUACUGCCGCCGCUGGCACUGCGAGGCGUGCCUUGGCCCGCCGCCAGCCUGCUCGGCUUCGCACUGCGGCACCUGGCCGCUAGAAAACCACCGCCGCUGAGGGCAGGUACGGCGGCUAACGGCCCUCAGGUGUCGGCGCCGCCACCGCCACCACCGCCGCCGCAGCAGCAGCCAAACGGCAGCGGGUGCAAAAGACCCGACGCCAGGACCGGCAGCGGAGAUGAUAGCUUAACUGUCGACGGCAGCGACGGUGUAGCGGCGCCGGCACCGUCCCCGCUGACUGGCGGCGGCAGGAUGGAGGUCGACGGCGGCGGCGGCGGCGGCGGCCGGAUUCACAGCAUCGAUCAGGCGCAUGAGGCGCUUCGUCGGAUAGAGGAGGCGUCUGAAGACCAGGCGUUACUGGCCGCGCGGCUGGAGGAGUGGGUGGAGGCGCACCCUGUGGCGCACCUGGCGCUACAGCUGCAGGUGCUGCGCAUUCAGCUACAGCUGCUGCGUGCGCAAGUAAGAAGAGGGCGUGGCAGUGGUGGUCCGGGGGGGAAAGCAGAGCCUUCAGGCGCUUAGGAACGUUGCGCCUGUUGGGUUUGGUUGGUUGGUUGGUUGGUUGGUUACUUGGUAAGGGCCGUUGGUUUCGGAGCUGUUUCCGGUGUGAAAGUGGUUUUGUAGAAAAACGAGGAGUGUGGUUUUAUAGCGCCUAGGCGGCGCAUUACGUUUUUUGCUUGCUUGGAUUGGGGUUGCAAAUUCAUGAAAAAACGUUUUUCGUUUUUCUUCCUUUUCUUCUCAACUAAUGGUUUACGCUUCCAUUUCCUAUUUUCCCCAAGCCAACCCAUGUUGUCCCCCAUAUCUCUGGUAUCUGCUGUUUCAAUCGUCAGUGGUUCGUCUUACCCCGGCACCCCGCCCAUCUUCUCCCCUCGCCGCCCUCUCCACAGACCGCCCUCUGGCGUCCCGUUGAGCUCCUCAACGGCCGCCUGGCCCUGCUCGGCCUAACUGCCGGGCUUUACCAAGAAACUGUCAACCGUUCCCAACUGACCCUGUACCAGCAAGCCCUACACCAUCCUCUCAGCAUUCCCUCCGCGUUCGCUUUGGUCGUAUUGCUGACGGCGAUACACCGCCAAAUUCAACCGCGCAUGAGGACGCGGGGGUUGCUCAUGAGCCCGCGGGCGCAUCGGUGGCUUGGUCGCGCGGCGAUGGUGGGGUUCGUUUGGGCAGUGGUACAGGAGGCGAUGGAUCCCGCGCACCGGCCGGUUGCACAGCAGCUGCGGGAGUGGAUUUUUGGGAUAACUGCUAGAGUUGGAGGGGGAGGGGUGCAUGGACAUGGAGCUGCUGGGGCGGAGACGGGGCUUUUGGACUGGUUGUGGGUUUGGUGGUAAAGGGGAGGCGAGGAAAUUGAAUAAAAAGGUCGUUUUGUUGUUGUUGGUGGUGGUGGUGGUGGUGGUGGUUUUUGGGGUGGGUUGGGGAUGUGAAGGGGGAGGGAGAGAUUGAAAGGUGCCUCUGAUGUAUUGGCUGCCGGGCGGGCGCGUGGCGGGCGCGGCGAGUGCAGCGGCGCGCUGGGAAAGUCCUUUUGUCAGUUGAUGGCGGGGGGGAGGAAAACGCUUUUGGUAACAGUAUUCUUAUAUUUGAAGGACAGACGGAUCCCGCAAGGAUGCAAGGUUUCUGAAGCCGGAAGUGGUUUGUCAAGUAAAGGUGGAGGCGGGUCGGCGCACAACGCAGAAAAAGCGAGGUUGCAUUAGGCUUGGGUUAGUUUGCGCAUUUGCAGGAUGUCUGUGUAACGAAGGACUGGAGCGGGAGAGGGGCUUUUAACGUUUUGAACCGCCAAAUUAGUGGGUUGCCCUGGUUGUCUGGCUGCAAAUUAGUCCAAAGGGAUCACACAAAGGAUUAGUUUGAAGACUACCUCAAUAACAGUGUAUUGUACAUCCUGCACCUUUGGAGGUGUAAUCUGCUGCGGUGCCCAGGUCAAAUAUUUUGCCGUAUGUUUGAAGCCGUUAAAACCGAGCCUUGCGCCCCAACACGUGCUGCCGAGUCCGCUAGGUUGAGGCUGCCUAGUUCAACGGGAACGCAAUAGCCUUAUUUGCAGCCAUACAAAUGAAUAUAGAUGCAUAGCCCAUUCGUCCUAGUACUUCCAUCCAAGUCAAGGUGGGAGGAAAAGUGCUCGUAUCGACAGCAACGCGUGUGCAUAAGAAAUUUUAUCUUCGAUUAUUGUAGGCUAUUUCAUAAAUUUAACAGUUUAGAAACCCACGAAUCGUUUCUUUGUCAAAUUUCACUUGCCAGUUAGCUCUAGAUAUUAGACGCUCAGUGUAUUCAACUCUCCAAGUAAGGAACCAAUAGUCAUGGAACAUUCUGAUGCCUUAAUGGAACAAGACGUCCCUUUAGCUCCAGCUUUUGCACCGAGCGGCGAGGUGUGCUUUGGAGCGGCCGCGGAACAUAGGCAAUUAUGAUUUGGGUAGCUUCAUUACCUUUUGGAACCCUUUGUAGGAUACUCCUCGCUUGGUUUCACCUCGUCGUCCUGACGUGAACGACUUGGCCUCGGCGGGCAGGAGCCCACCUAUAAGCAUUAAAAAAGGCGCUCCAAAGAGUCCGAAUUACGACAUUAGCCACGACCUGGAGGAGCUGGAUGAAAACGUCCUCGCGGAGAUGCUGGUCAAGUACGCCAGUUUCCAACAGCAUAAUGAAAUCCUAAACACUACGCAUCGUUGCUAGAGAACUCACAUGGUGCCCAAAUCGCGAUAGGGUCGAAGUGGGCCGGCAGAGCACGGAACCUUGGCAGUUACUUCUGCCGAUGCCGUUUGCAUAAGAGGAUGCACCAAACCUAGGGAAACCCCUUCCCCCAGACCUGACAGCAACCCCACCACAUCUCCUACCUCAUAACGGCACUCCGCCGCCAUAAUGCAGCCCAACCGCACUCCCGCGCAAAUGCGGUUGAUACCCUUCCUCACCAUGUUCUCCUCGUUCUCCCCCUCACUCGUUGCCCCCUUCUCCCCCAUAACCUAAUUCCUCAACAGGGCUAGCCCCAAGUUCACUGAGCCAUUUGACAUUAGCCAAAUCACCCGCAACGUAAGCGUUGCACGAGCCGCGCGACGGGAAAUGGACGUUGCCUCGUGCGGGGGUCUCAGCGAAAGCUACGCGUCAGGUGCGUGUGUGCGUGCGUGCCUACGUGUCGACAUGCCUCAGCUCAACACCAAGCCGUUCUGUAAAAACCAAACCGCACACAUGCCACGUGCCAGUUUGGGGUCCCUCCGUCCUUCCCCGUUCCUUCAUCAUCAUCAUCAUCAUCAUCAUCAUCAUCAUCAUCAUCAUCAUCAUCUUCUUCUUCUUCUUCUUCUUCUUGCCACCCGGCUUCAGGUUUAGCACUCCGCCUCCUCCCCACCCAACGCAUCCUCUCAACCUCUCCCCCCGUCACCUAGCCCCGACAGCCCCAACCAUUCACACCUUCCAGGGUUUUCUUUUUCUCUCCUCAUGCUAAUGGUUUCCUUCCUCCCAACACCUCCGCGUUCCCCCAUCCCCAUGUCAUCCUCAUCCCGUCUACACUCCCCCCCAACACACACACACAUACACAAAAAAAUAGCUGCCGCGGCGGCCGUCGUCGCAGCGGGCGCUGCUUCCGAGGACGGGCAGAGCUGCAGAAGGUCCAGCGGCGGCUGUACGGUAUCAGUUACCGGCACCAACGGCUUCAUCAACGGUCACGGCAGCAACGGUAUCAACGGUAUCGCUAACGGACUUUGGGGUCCCGGCGCAGGCCCUUUGCACGGACCGCACGGACCAGGUUGCGGCGCCGCCGCAGGCGCAGCCGCUUCUGGGAUAGGAUGCCGUCUGAGCGGGGGCUUUAGCGUCCUGUCAGAGCAGAUGUUAUUAGCUUCGGUUUCGUCAAUCAGUACUUUUGACGCGGAGAUUGCGCGGCAACGAGCGGCGUUGGCGGCCAUUGAGGAUGACGUAGAGGAGGAGAGUCGGGUGAAUCGGGAGAUGGCGGGCAGGAUUACGGAGCGGCUGGAGAACAGUUGCAGGUGAGGGUGAGGGAGCAGCACAAGAAGAAGGCGAGCAGCGCUGGUUCUGGGGGGUCGUUGGUGUUGGGAUGUGGGAGGUAGGUAAGCGGAGUCCGGUUUGGGCUCCAAGCGGGAAAAAAGGCGGGAAAAAGGCAACCGCCUCCUCCCCUUCCCCCUAGUUCCAAAUCCAACUGCCCAACUACCUUUUUGUCAUCGUCUCAUCGUCCCAAACCGAAACUCAAACCUGCAUAUACUAACAACCCAAAUCUGCGUUUGAAAAUCCGAGCCUAAACCUGGAAACAUUUUGAACCGAACCCUGGAUCCAACCAAAUUUGAAUUUUUGAUCCAGGAUUCUCGAGGGGCUCGCUUCGCUCCUGUCCGCUUUGGGUGCGGCUGAAGCUGCCUACUCCGCCGCCAUGUCCGCAGCCUCCCGGGUCAGGUUGUUGGGGUUGGAAAGCGACGACGGCGAGCUCCGUACGGCAGGGGAGGCGCUGAUGAGGAUCCCCUCCGUGAUUGAGCAGGCGCACAGGUUGGCGGUUGCGUUGGCUGGGUAGAGAGGGUGGUAGGUGGGGGGAGGAUAGAGGGGUCGGUGGGGGGAGGAUAGAGGGGUAGGUGGGGGGAGGAUAGAGGGGUAGGUGGGGGGAGGAUAGAGGGGUAGGUGGGGGGAGGAUAGAGGGGUAGGUGGGGGGAGGAUAGAGGGGUAGGUGGGGGGAGGAUAGAGGGGUAGGUGGGGGGAGGAUAGAGGGGUAGGUGAGGGGAGGAUAGAGGGGUAGGUGGGGGGAGGAUAGAGGGGUAGGUGGGGGGAGGAUAGAGGGGUAGGUGAGGGGAGGAUAGAGGGGUGGGGAGGGUAAAGGUUGGGGAGGGUAGGUAAGGGAUAGAGAGGGGAAUGCUCGGUUCUGUUUGGUUUGUUUGCUUCGUAUAGUUGUUACUAAUAAUCAUAUAUGUAAAUUUCCAUCUUGUCAGCGCGAAUAUGUCGUACAUGUGUAUGUAUGUAUGUAUGUAUGUGCGACGUGUGUUUGGAACUUGGUGCGUCAUGCUCUCCGCCAGGCCUCUGCACUCCACCCUCACCGGUACGGCAAAAGAGGUUUCCGUACUCCUUUCCCGGUACCGCGCCGCCGCCCGGGAGCUUUCCACUGAAUCAGUUAAUGCACAACGGAACAUCGACGCAGCGCGGCGACAGUUGGCGGUUGCAUUGGCCGAACAUGUGACUGCCUGUCGUACAUUUGAGGCAGUUUUGGCGGAGCGGCAGCAGCGCCGCCAGCCAACCCGGGGUCCCGAAGCCGAUCCCUGGUUUACGGAGCGGCGGUUGGUUCAGGAGCAGCAGGCGUUACAACGGUGGCAGGACUGCGAGCGAGCGUUACUCAAGACGGCGUUUCAGCGGGUUACGGAGCUGGAGCAGCAGCGGCUGGAGCUUUCGACACAGGUCCGUGUGUGUGUGUGUGUAUGUCUGUAUGCCUGUGCGUGUGUAUGUGCGUAUAUGCGGGCGUGGACUCUCCUAAAAAAUAUAGUUUUGUUAACUAACUGGCUUUUUUUAUUCGAGUAUUAUAUGGCUGUGUUUCAUAACUGGCUUCAUAACUGGGUUCAUAAUAUUGGAUCAGCAUCAACUAAAUAAACCACUGAAUUUGAAAACACGACAACACCAACACCACCAACAACACCACCAACAACAACAACGACAACAAUAAUAACUAGUUCCUGAGGAGCUCUGUUGAGAGGAGAUGUUGAAGUCUUUAAAAAAGGAGGGCAGGGGGAAGAGUCUUGGCUGGGGGUAUUGAAACCAAACCAAGGUCAACGGUAUUGAAACCUAGGUCAACGCCAGGUCAGCCAGCCGCCUUCCUCUCUCUCUCCCACCCGCCACCCAACCCGCCCCGAAACCCCUCUUUUUCCCGCACCUCGCGACGUUGACCUCGGCCAUCGUAGGCUCCUUCCCGCUAUUUUGUUUUUUGAUAAAAAAAUUGAGCCGUUAAAAAUAAUAAUGUUGCUAAGAGGAUUUUUUUGAUUCUGGGCGCAUCACGGGAGAUCUUCAUCCGCCGAUCGGUGCUUUCCUGAAGUGGUGGUAGUCUUGAUGAUACAACACCCGCCUUUUGCUGCAUAUACGGCCCCCCUUCUUUCCCACUUGCCUUGCGCGUAACGAAAAAAACGACUAACCGUCGACGUUGAAACGAGGUAAUGGGUUACUCCUUUAGUAGGACAUUACCAAUAGUACAUUCGACACGUCAGCCAUUACGGAAUAACUGAUGCAGUUGAUCUGCACUUGAUCUGCGUUUCGUCUGCACUUCCAUCUUUCAUCUUGGCGACUGUGUUUUAUUGUUCUUGUCGUUGUUGUUCUUUGUUCUCCAGGCGAUGACAGUGGCGGUGGACAGCUACCGCGCCGCCUUGCUACCGCUGCAAACGGAUCUGGAGUCCAUGACGGUGCGUGUGGAGGGGACUGGGGGGGGGACUGGGGGCACUGGGGGGUGGAUGGGGGGAGAAUGUUGGGGGAGAGUGCUGGAUGGGUGUUGGGGGGUGAUUUUUAUGUUGGGACGGUGAGUGGGAGUAAGGUCCAUUGGGCCUUUAGUGCUGCUGCUUCUGUUGCUGUCACUGUUGCUGCUGUUGGUGUUGUUGCUGCUGUUGCCUUACGGUGCGAACAACUUCCCCCCUCCCCCCCAACCCCUUCCCCCCCGGCCGCGGAAUGGGAGGUUCAUAGGCGAUUUAGCGGUUUACACCGCUUUAUACGGGGUGUUCGGAAUGUUGCUCUUUACGUGCACUUAAAUUUCCCCCCCCCCUCUCCCUCUCUCUGGCCCCCCUCCUAAACCACUAAGCAUAUGUCGUCUCACCGUAUUUCACUUCCUAGGACUAGCCCUCGAUUGCCUCUCAGCGCGGUCUUCCUCCCCCUCCCUGGCUGGCGCCCCAAUAGGCGGUGCUGCAGGCCAUCCAGCCCGAUGUAAAGCUCAGCACCUUGCGUGACAUGGCCGCCACCGCCACUCGUACGGCGGAGGGGCUCGCGGCGCGGCAGGCGGAGUGUCUACACAGCGUGUGCCAUGAACUGUUUUGCUCGCCGGAGAUUGUACGGCAGGGUGAUUUGCAGGUUUGGGAGCCGGCCACGGAGCGGUGGCGUAAAUGCCACUUUGUCCUGACGAGAGCAGGUGUGUAUAUGUAUGUAUGUAUGUAUGUAUGUAUGUAUGUAUGUAUGUAUGUAUGUAUGUAUGUAUGUAUGUAUGUAUGUAUGUAUGUGUUUUGUGGGGGGGGAGGAGAGGAAGGGAAAAAGGUGAGGGCAGUAGGUGCCUGGCCGGGGGUUCAGGUUUGCUGCUUGCUUGCUUUGCUGCUUUCGUGGCGGCGGUGGUACUGCCGCUACUGCCACUGCUGCUGCUGCCACUGCUGCUGUUGCUNNNNNNNNNNNNNNNNNNNNNNNNNNNNNNNNNNNNNNNNNNNNNNNNNNNNNNNNNNNNNNNNNNNNNNNNNNNNNNNNNNNNNNNNNNNNNNNNNNNNNNNNNNNNNNNNACAUGCAUACAUACAUACAUACAUACAUACAUACAUACAUACAUACAUACAUACAUACAUACAUAACCGGGGAAAGGGCGGGGAAAGGGCGGGGAGAGCCGGGGGGGGAGGGGAAGAGGCAGAGAGAGCACCAAGAGGAUGUAGGGUUGAGGGGUGGUGAGUGGAAACAGGUGGCCGUAGCGAGGGCGCGGAUGAGGGGGAGGUGGGCACCCAGAAGGGGGGGCCGUACUCGAAGGUGCGCGCGUGGUGCAGGACUAGGUUCUUCAGGGUACGAGACCGGGUUUUUCGUGUUGCGGCGUCUAGGUGAGAUAGGAUCUUGGGAACCAGCCGUCUUGGUAGAGCGGUAUUGGGGGGGCGCCGAGCUGGCUACCCUCCCCCCUUGUGGUUUCCGGAGGCUUGAUCGCCCUGCGUUGCCGCAGGGUCUUCCCGUUUGAGUACUUUUCAAGUUAGACCCAGUGCUGUGGAAGGGCGCGGACUUGUGCGGUGUUACCCCCCCGACGGGUGCUAUCUCCCCUGGACUAGCCCAGGGAGGGAGAGGCGGAGGAGGGUAGUAGUCUCAGGAGGCUGUUUGGCGUCUUGUGGUGUGAGCUCUUUGCGCUCUUUUUUUGCGUGAGGAUUUUUGAGCUUGGUGACCUCCCCAGCCCGGGAUGACUCGUCGGGCUUCGUGGCGGUGGUACUGCUGCCACUGCUGCUGCUGCUGCUGGUGCUAUUGUUGCUUGCGUUCAAAUGGGCCCAUACAUACAUACAUACAUGUGUGCUCCCGACCCUUGCGCUGUGUUUCGGCUUCGGCCCCCGGCUCUCGCGGCCCACAGUGUAAUCUAAGUCAUACAUACAUACAUACAUACAUACAUACAUACAUACAUACAUACAUACAUACAUACAUACAUACAUACGUACAUACAUACAUACAUAGUGGGUCUCUGUGGCUUCGCAGUGGAUGGUGGUACGUAUCAUGUCCAGCGCUCUCCGGCGUCUCCACCCGGCGGUGAUAAUGAUGUGAUGAUGUAUAUCACAAUACAAUGAUAAUGAUGAUCAUGGCGAUGACGAUCAUCAUCAUCAUUAUCAUUAUCAUCAUCGUCGUCGUCAUCAGUUUCUCCGAUCCUCUCGCUGCCCCAUCAGGCCGCCUCCUGAUCUCGCCCUGACACACGCCCUGAUCUGACCCAUGGGACCCUCCUCAAUACCUUGCAUGUGGCCUAAACAGGCUACCUCCACUGGGUCACGCGCGCAGAGGAGGUCCGCCCGCUGGACUCGUUGGCGUUGGGGCGAUCCACUUUUGAGGCGGGCAAGGUGUGUGGUGGGAGAGUGGGAUCUCCUUCUGAGGCUGGUCUUUGCAGCGUGUCCGAUUUGUGAGGCCUUGGGAGUGGAGUGCUGCACCCUGGGAUGCAAGCAGUCGCCAGUUGACGUCACAUAAGUCCCCUUGCCGGCCUUUUUCCCUGGCUCUACCCCGUAUUUACCCACCCGUAUCUACCCACCCGCCUAUACCCAUCCACCUACCUACCCACCUACCCGCCUACCUAACCCGGCUGUGCUGCCCCCAGGCCCCCCGCUUCAAUAUUUUGGAGAUGCCCAAGGGAUCCAGCUGGCUCGGGGGAAUACGGGGGCGGAGACUGUCCUUCCAGGUGAGCGAGUGAUUGAGCGAGUGAGUGAGCGAGUGAGUGAGUGAGCGAGUGAGUGAGUGAGUGAGCGAGUGAGUAAGCGAGUGGGUGAGCGAGUGAGCAAGCGAGUGAGCGGGUGAGUGAGCAAGCGAGUGAGCGGGUGAGUGAGCAAGCGAGUGAGCGAGUGAGUGAGCGAGUGAGUGAGUGAUGAACGAGUGGGUGAGCGGGUGAGUGAGCAAGCGAGUGAGUGAGCGAGUGAGCAAGCGAGUGAGUGCGCGAGUGAGCAAGCGAGUGAGCGGGUGAGUGAGCAAGCGAGUGAGCGGGUGAGUGAGCAAGCGAGUGAGCGAGUGAGUGAGCGAGUGAGUGAGUGAUGAACGAGUGGGUGAGCGGGUGAGUGAGCAAGCGAGUGAGUGAGCGAGUGAGCAAGCGAGUGAGUGAGCGAGUGAGCAAGCGAGUGAGUGAGCGAGUGAGCAAGCGAGUGAGUGAGCGAGUGAGCAAGCGAGUGAGUGAGCGAGUGAGCAAGCGAGUGAGUGAGCGAGUGAGCAAGCGAGUGAGCGGGUGAGUGAGCGGGUGAGUGAGCAAGCGAGCGAGCGGGUGAGUGAGCGAGUGGGUGAGCGAGUGAGUGAGCGAGUGAGUGAGUGAUGAACGAGUGGGUGAUGAGCGAGCGAGUGAGUAAGGGGGAAAGGGGGGCACUGGCCUGGGGACAUGCCGGCCCGCCGCGCUCUCGUCUCGUGGCGCGUGGCUGCUGAAUCUCUUGGUGUCGGCUUUUUCCGUCUCCUCCUUCUUCUCCUUCUCCUCCUUCUUCUGCAGCUGCUGCUCCUUCUCCUCCUUCUUCUUCUUUUUACUUCUGCUGCUGUUGUGAGUAGCAGUGGCCGAUGACUGCCUUUUUAGUGAGGGUUGUGGGCGCCAGGUGCCCCGGAGCCGUUGACCCACGGUAGCGCUCACCCACGUGACGUCUUCUGCAGCCGAUUGACGACGAAAUGGCUGUUUUGCUUCGCCCACCAUGUCACUGCUGCUACUGCUACUGCUACUGCUACGGCUGGUGCUGUCUGUCGAGCGCAACGGCUCCGUCCUGGCUCCUCCUGCUGUUGCUGCUGCUCCUCUUGCUCUCUUUCAUUCAGGCGAGCAGCGUUGAGGAGUGUUGCGAGUGGGCCAUUGCCAUUCGGGACGCCAUCGCCGUGGCUGCCGGCAAGCAGCUCGCCUUUGAGGAGGACGAGGGGCCGGAACACCGACAUUCGCCCUUUGUUCGCCCUUUGUAAUCUUUAGCGUACCAGGUGGGUGUAGGAGGUUGAGGUGGUUGUAGGAGGUUGAGGUGGUUGUAGGAGGUUGAGGUGGUUGUAGGAGGUUGAGGUGGUUAUUAAAGUUAUAAAUGCGAACGGGAGCCUCCCUGGAUGACCCCCUGUGCUCUGUUCACCGAAGGAACCUCUCAGAUGAGGUUUCCGGCCGGUGGUGAUGGUGAUGGAAGUGCACCUGGGGGCAGAGGCACCUGUUUACCGCAUAUACACGGACCCCAUGUGUGUGUGUGCUUGCGUCUCUGCACUCUCUCCUUAGCGGGAGGAGAGGGCGUGAGGGGCCACAGUCCCCUCCUGCUCGACCGAGGGCGCGCAAUCCUCUGUGUGUAUGCGUGUGUGUCUGUGUUUGUGUCUCUGUAUGUCUCUCUGUGUGCCUGUGUGUGCAGAACUCGAUCGAUAGAUCAAGGGAGGUUGCGAAAGGUAAGAAGAUGGGGAGGAAGGAAGAAACGCUCCCAAGUUGUGUAUGCAUGCGUUGCUUUGUAUGAGGUGGACACGAGUUUACACGAAGGGGGGAGAAAGAGUUGCGGACCUGUUUGCACUGCCGUGCUUACGUGUGUAUGUGCAUGUGCAUGGCAGUUGUGUCAUGCGGCAAACGGACUAAGGACGUCUGUAAAAACAUUUUUGACUGUCUAUAGGGCGCACCCUGGUAUGCUUAGGAAGGGACGGCCCCCACCUAAUAUACCACGGCAGUGCGCAUGGUCUAUAGACGAUCGAAAUUCUUACUGGCGGACCGAGCGGGAUCGUACGGAACUGGACCGAAUUGAGCGGAUUGUACGGAACUGAAUUGCAUAGAACCAGGCUGCUCGUCUCGGGUUGAAGACCACCUUAUUGGUACAGACAGACAGACAGAUAGACAAUGCAUGAGAGUGGAGAGGGCGCGUUGAGUUGGUGUUGAGUAUGAUGCUCCUGACAUAAUGUGACCACAUUUUGUCAUGGCCUGGAAUCGAACUGGCGAUCAGCCGUUUGAGCGGUUUGUGUGUGGUGGGCUGGAACGAAGCAUCCUGAAGGAAGCAUUCUGACAAGGUGGGAGACAGACAAACAGGCAGGCAGGCAGUUUAAUUGUGUGCGGAUGUGGUCGAGUAUGCAUAUAGGCGGCGGUGCUUGUGUAUUCUGUUAAAGGAGCUUGGAACUGUGCCGGCUGCUGCGGCCCUGUGUGCGAGGAGUGAAAGUCGUAACAGGAGUGGACAGAUAUUUUGGGAUGGAGUAGAUGGAGUGCGAUAUGGGACGCGAGGGGAUAUUUUGCAUGCCUCCACAUACAGAUUAUCGCAUGUGGCGCAUGUAGUACAGAUGAUGGUUCGUGCCAUGAAGGCCUCUGAUCGUGGUAUGCCUGAUGACAUUUCACAGAAGGAUGAGUGAGAUUAUUGCCGAACUCGGUCAGAGGAGCUGUUAUUACUAUUAUGGUGACGAUGAUGAUGAUGAUGUAGCAUUCGCACGGGCAUGCGGCGUCUGCGGGGCGUAGAAGCUAUCUGGUGUGUGUGUGUGUGUGUUAAAUAGCCAAGUUGCAUGAUAAUGUGUCGCCUUGUGAAGAGAGUGUUUUGUUUUGCUUGGGGGAAGUAAUACUGGGGGUUUUAUGGGGUCAUGCGCGAGGGACGGUAAUAUGUCUGUUUGCAUUCAUGAGUUGAAGGACAGUGUGCGGUGGGAUGAAGUGGAAAGUGAAGGACUGUUAUACUGCAGGAACCCUGGCUAACGUCCUUUAUACGAGUUACAGAAUCUUCGGUUCGCCUAGUUUUAUGGGCCUAAUGCGCACGGACGGCGAAUGCUAACCCACGAUUGCCGUACCUACGACAAUCAGUACGGCGGGCUGGAUGUCAAAUCUAAGGGGUUAUAACCGUUGUGCCGAUUGGUAGUUUCUAUGACCUGUUGGGACUUUGCGGGAAAGUCGAAAAGCAAUUAAUUUCCUGUCUCGUACACAGACGGGGCCAAGGAGUCCUCUCCUUCGCUCCUUCCCAUCGACUUCGGUUUUUAGUAAAACGGGUGAUAUGACCUUUCCAUAAAUGUUUGAUGGCGUUUACCCUCGCUUUUGGCGGCAAGCUCCUUGUGGCUGCAUGUGCCGUAUUUUCGCCUCCGAAGACCUGGCAUAUGCAUAUAUAUACUGGAAUCAUCAGCAGGCUCCAAUCACGACGGUUUGUUUUUCUCCCUGGCAUUGUUGCAUCUCACACACCACAAAUUUGGAAAGCCCUGGCCAUGCCAAUGGCGACCAUGCCAAUGGACCUGAUCUGUAUGUGUGUAAGUAACGACGAGAAAAGGUCCGCAAUCGUAAGCCAUGGGGUAUACAGCUGCCCGGUAUCGUAGAAUACGUGCGGCAUACGUGCGCUGCCUUUAAUUUCCCGUAGGCGAUGUUUUGCUUGUUAGCAGUGAAUAACCCACACUUCCCUACGGUUCUACCGAGAAUUUUCUGUUUGGCUUGAACCACAUUCCAACACAGUACAACAGCACAAAAGCGGGUGUGGAAGGGCAAUUGAAUAGUUCUACCACGACUGUGUGAAGAGCUAUCUGCUACUGUAUGAAGGCCAGUCCCCGCUAUUGGGACACAUGCAUGUGUACGAACGUGUACCCGAGUUAUCAAAAAGCGGUACGGGACCGUCGCGCGUGCGUACGUAACGAAGGUCCGCCGGUAAAUUCCGCGGGCCACUUGCAGCACACUGCUAGAUUUACAUUUUAAAAAAGUGCCGAUGCACAGACAGACAGACGGACGGACUGCGGUGGCGCUGGUGGGUGUGUUCAAGCUGGCCUUCCAGGAUAAAACAUGUGGCGCUUAUUCAGUUCAGUGAGCGCACAAGUCAUUUAACAUCAUUUUAUGUUAAAGCUCCGUUUCUAACCAACAUGACCAUUUAACUCGUGUCGAAUUCUCUAUCGAUGCACCGAGGGAAUUAAUUCAUAUAAAUCUGUGCGGAAAAAGAGGCAGCGCAAUACUCACAAGUCUGUGCUUCCACCUGUCUGUAAAAUAUCUCUAAAAACAACUUGCCGGUAAAGACCCUCCCCUUUCUCUCCCCCGCUGCGUACCUACAACGCUGCAUCCUUCCCGCCGGUCGCUCCCCCUGCACCCCCUAAAGUCAAAACACUCACCACCUGCCGCUUCCGCCGCGUGCUCCAAAGUCGCUCCAAAAUCCAAACUAACCUUCCCUCACCCCGGGCAUGAAUGGGCGCAUUAAGGUAUGCGAAGAGAGCAGGCCGUCCAUGGCCGUCAAGCCCAGAGCAGACAGGUCAACAAGCCGCAUAUCUACUACCAGGACGAGAGGAAAGGGAGGGACUUGUCCUCACUCACAUGUGCACAUACACACACACACACGAGCUCCAAAGCCGGCCCAACACAAAGCCCCAGUCAAGCCGCAGUCAAAGGGCCUCUCUCUUUAUCCUCCUAUCCUCCUGUUCCGCUUGAGUCCUGAAUGGAGGAGGACGCGACACAAAACCCACAUCGCCAUUCCGGUAGCCACAACAAUACACGAUGCAGAUGCAGAUGCGCCGCAAACCAACGACGGCCACCUAGUUGAUGCCUCAGAUCAGACGUAGCGUUGCGCUGCCUGUCCACACCCCACCAGUCCAACGCAUCUGGAGUUCUACCUACCGUCCUGGCCACAUGCAACUGUAGACAACUCGCGCGCAUCAACACCAGCCUGAAGUACACCAGCCCACGCACACAUCCACAGCUGCCGUCUACACGCACGCACACACGCACACUACAUGAGCAAGUCGUAGUCGUCCAGCUUGUCGUUGUACUUGAGGACCUUCCGCUUCACCUUGGACGUGUCCACCCAGGUCACGAAGUCCUCCAUGUUGCGUGUCACGUGGAAGGCGGGGUCGGUCACGGUGUCAGGACCCACACGCACGUGACCCUGCACGGCCGGCAGAGGGGUGGGGAAGGGGAAGGAUGCGAGGGAGGAACCCACGCCAAGGUGUAGUGGGAGGGUUGUUGGAAUCGCGUGGACGGGGGGGUUCCGGUGGAUAAUUGUACGAAUAUGGGUGCAGCCAGCUGCGAUGACUCGCGACAGCAAGGCCAAAAGACGCAAGGCCAAAAAAGGCCUCGGAUUUUAUUGGUUGCUCAAUAUAAUUAAGCUAGGGGCCCGAGACAUGACCUCUGAGGACGAAUGACCUUCUGAGGACGAAUGAACAAGAUUUUCUCUGGCUGGGAAAAUUCUCUUAUUUAUGCACGACCACGGUAGACACGCGGUGUUCGGAACGGCGCCGAAUCGCGCGGAAAUCGAGUCGGUAUGUCAUUGUGCAAGAUGAUGUGAUGAAGACGACACGCUGUGCUGAGUCUACGCAGGAGGGUUUACGCAGGAGAAGUAUAAAAGCGUGAAAUAAGCAUAUGCUGCGUUAUUAUUGAUCUGGGUCGAGAUCAUCGAGGCCCGCAGUGAUCGAGGCCCCUGUAGGGUACAUGCAGUGGAUAGUCACGUUGGGAUCUGAAUCCGUUUUCGUUCCACCUGACUUCCUGUACAGCCUGCAAGGCCACCAGCGUCCCUCCCUCCUCCCUUCUGCUCCCACCUGCUCGAUGAAGGUGGCAGCCUCUCGCAGCGUUUCCGACAUCUUGAGUCGGACCAUGACCACCGCCAGCCGCCGCCGGCAGAACGCGGCCGUGGCCAGUUUAUCGCACUGGACCAAGCUCUUCUUCGUGGGGAGGACACCCAUGUUGUAGAGCCUGUGAACAGGGUUAUAGCGCGAUCAAGAACUGCUGCUGAAGCUGUGCUAGUUACUACACGUGAAUGGGGGAUAAGGUGGGAGGAGGGCGAGGGUGGGUGGCCGGAACACGACAUGGGCCCACGCCUGCAGCUCGACUCACUUUUCCAAAAGCUGGUCAGUCAACUCUAUCCUCGUCGCGUCUUUGGGGUCUAGCCGCUUUAGCAUGCUGGUAAGCUUUGUAAUCAUGCCGCAUAUUUUAUUGUACUUCUUGUAGUCGUCGCGGUCUUGAAUGUGGUAUCGCCGCAAGACCUGCCGGCGGCGGCAAACCAUAGAGCAAGGCAAAGCAACGAUUUCUCAAAUCAUGAGUUGUCGCCAACUUGUAGACGACGACUGUCCGAAGCACACACCUGGAGCUCGCGGACAUUGUCGUCGCUCUUCCAUCGUAGAAAGUCCACCUUCUUCAGGAGUUUUUGCUCAUGAUAUUUUAGCUGACGCAUUCUUUCACGAUCUGAGUUCCUUACUGCUUACAACCUUUCUUCACCGGGACACUUCUUGGACUGAAAAGCUUACUCAGUAAAACGUAGCGAGCGAACACAACAAUCAACUAGACUUUAAUGCACGACUGCACGCAUGCCGACAAGCAGCCAUGACGACUCAACUUCUAGGUCACGACAGGUUCUGGAGCGUCCGCCAAUGUGCCGCCAAUGACGACGUAUACCGGCUGGGUGGGUCAAAUUACUAGGAAAUAGCAACGAUUCAGACAGCGUUUACAGGCGUACCUCUCUUCACUGCGGUAAAUUGGUGGCUCGGAUUAUAACAUGACUGACAACCGCUGGCAUCCACAAAAAUCCUAAAUAGCUUAUAGUUUUUUUAGAAGCAACAAUAGGAGAUCUACUGGCUGUGGUCAUUUCCUUCUUCUGAGGGCCUUACAACCGUACCAUUGAUCGCUUUAACAGCUCCAAGAUUGACUCAGGAUUUUGUUGCUCUAACCUCCGCCUUCGGAACCAAUGGCAGCCUACGUGUUACACUCUUCUGGAUCUUUUGUUGUGGGACGGCUAGCUGUCGCACGCCCCCGUCGGGCAAUUGUUGUUCCGGAGAGGUCACAAUGGACAACCCACGCCAUGGCAAAUGUGCACCACAGAGAUUGUCUGGGAUUACGCCAGGAUUCAAUUGGCCCCGCUUGCGUUGCUAAGGUGUUAGGACCAACAAGCGAGGAGCGAGAAAGCGAAGAACGCUUUUUGGAUGUCCACGCAAUCCUGAGCGAAUACAACCCGCUUACCGGUAACCAUCUUCUAAUCUGGGAGGAUAGUGAUGACGAAGAUGGUGCCGUCCAAGCAGAGUUGCCUCAGCUUGGUGCCUGGGAGGAUUCCUCCAGCGGAUAUCAAGGACUAGAGCACCAACCGGUACGUGCCGAGCCAUGAUGCCAAGCAAGGAUGGGAACGAAGCUUUAAAAAACCUUAAUACCAGGUGCCCAAGAGUUGCAGUUGUACAGGAAGCGGUGUCGUCCGUGACCAAUACCGGUACCGUAUCAUACGUUCGGUGAUCGACGUGCCUACCUUCCAGCUGCAGAAAUGCACUAUGCUUAUCCCUCGGCAUGCCGAUGCAACUCGCUGAUCUGAAGGCGCCCACGACUCAAAGCCAGAGACUGUUUGCCUGGAAAACUGUCUGACCUGUUACGUCUCGUACGCCCAUCCUCGGAUUUUAACGCAGUCUUGGAUAGAUUACCGCGACGGUUCCGAGUCGGAUGACCCUGAACGACUGCGGGGGCCUACUGGCGCGUACAACGCCCUCGCCGCCGUUAUGCCCGAGCUUGUCGAGGACACAACGAGCCCUACCAGCGCCUACUCGCCGGAGGCUGGGUUUCAGGUGCGUGUGGCGUGAAGAAGAGCCGUGAAAGAACGAAGUUCGGUGAUGUGGGUUAGCCGCAGUGGCACGGAUUUCCAAAACCCCGCUAGCAAAUUUUGAACCAACAAAGCUCGUUACUGGUAAAAACCGCUACUAGCGGCUGUCGUUUGUGGGGAUAAGAGACUGCAUAUGGGACUGCAUAGGAGAAUGCAACCCAUAAUUCUAAAGGCGACGCUGAUGAGCCAUGGCCGCUUCUGCCGCCUUUGGGAAGCCAACACGUAAACUGCCGUCGUGGCGUGCGAUUCAAAGUUGGGGCCACCCCAUCAGCUACGCCACAUGGCCAUGCCCUGUUCCCUUUCUCGUGCUCUUUCAUUCUUUCCUUCCUGUCUGCUGCAUUUUCCGUCCAUUUCGCCACUGCCAUGCGCGAUCACUUUGCAGCUGUUUGGCAACAGGAAACAGCAACUGUACAAUGCGAGGUUAUUGUCGAGUGCCCACCGCUUUUCGUUGCGCAACUACACCCAGCAUUUUCGUUGUUGUACUUUUACUGCAAUGGUCGUACUUACCGCAGGAGAUAUCCGUGGUGGAGCUGGAGGAGCGCCUCGCCACGGGCCAGUUUUCGCUGCUGCUGGAUGUGCGCUCGCGGCACGAGUACGACAGCGGGCACAUAGCUGGAGCAUUCAACCUUCCUCUGGAUCCGGAUCUCUCUUCAGCAGCGCGCAGCGGCUCAUUGGACGAGUUCAAGGACCGGUCGGUGGCAGUGGUUUGCGGUUCGGGCAUGCGCUCCGGGCAAGCGACUGUACGGCUGACCAAGGUGUUCGGAUUCAGCAACGUUACCAAUGUGAAAGGAGGCAUGGUGGCCUGGACCCAGGAGGGCCUACCUAUGCAGGUGAUGGCACAUCAGCACCGCGGCAGCAGUGGUGGUGGAUGCGGCUGCGGUGGAGGCGGCGGCAGCGGCGGUUGCAAGAGCAAGCAAACAGUCUGAGCGCCUUUCCCUUUCUCAACUCUUGAUUCUUGCGUUACGUUUGUAGUGAAUUCUUUCCGUGAGUGAUUUGGAUUACGGGUUUAUUAUUUAGCAAUUGGUGUUGAGUUUCGCAGGUUACGAACUGCAGGCCCGGUCACCUGCCAACCGCGCCGUCGUAACGCCGCGCCCUGACUUUGGAGAAAGGGACUUGGUGUCACCAUUGCAUCUCAACAGGAACCAUGUAUAGUAUCCUUCACUACCUACCACGUACCCUUGUACCGAGCAGGCUUGUGACAUGAGAUUCCUAGCAUUAUUUUUGUGCUGUGCACAUAUUCGUUUUCAAGUGACAGGGCAGCUUGCAGGGUAGCCGACUUGCUGGCAAUUUAGGGGGAAUAACUAAUAAACAAACUAUUCCCUCAGUUCUUAUGGCGGUUGGAUGACGGUUGCGUCUCCGCGGUAAUUAAGGAAUUGUGAUUAGAACACAGCGGCUUAAAGCGAUGUAAUCGUAUACCGAGCUUCGCAACGGCCUUGGUUUGAGAUAGUUUCUCAUAUGCGCACUUCGUCGAUCAUGGUUUCCAGUAAAACAGCUAUCCGCCUUAACACCUAAUCCGCAGUUCUCAUACCACAGCCCACCUGCGCAGUCACAUGAGCAGUCUUGCUCAGGGCCCCGAGCGUCCCCUGUCAAUUAUCUUCUGAUGAGAUAUUCACACCUAGUUCCUCCCAUAAUCCCUUCUCUCCUCGCAGCGCCCGAGCAAAACCCCAAGCGUGUGACGCAAGUUAUAUACCCUUUGAGCAAAACGGAUGACCCCAUAUUGCCUCAACCAACUUAGCGGCUUCAUACUACUCCAUAAUGCCAUGCAGCGCCUCCUUCCUAAAACUCGCACGCAGCCGUCACACCUCACGGCACCUCAGUUCGCGUCUGCGCGACUCAAAAGCCCAUCCAAGGCUUCGGCUUACACCGCAGUGUAAGACAGUGAUAUUUCCGAUUAAAACCCCCAACCGCAGCUCCCAGAUGUCCCCCUGCGAAGCCACCGAUAUCACAUCCCGUCCACUUUUUCCCUUUCCCGUUCCGGCGAACAAGGACAAGAAAGGGAAUAUCGGGUGCCUCUAAAUUGCGGUGGCGCAGCGACUACUCCACUCCCAACUCCUAAGAUUCUACCCUUGCCAGGGUAGAUAUGUAUUUACCCAAUCGUCUGGCCCGUUAGGUCACUCGAUUGGCAUGACAUCCAGCCUCAGCCAAUGGCCAAUAAACCCACACCCUUGCCCAUCUCCACCUCGCCCCUGUCGCCCCUGCCCUUGCCGCCCGGCAUCAUCUUCCCGUCCGGACCCAUCCGCACAAAGCCCUCCUCCUCUAGUUCUUCUUCCACGCCCAUGUCGGCUCCCAGCACUGCCUGCGCCUUCUGGGCCGCCUCGCGCACGCCUGCCAGGUCAUCCGGCAGUGUACGGAAGUACCGUAUAAGCGUCUUGCUGCCCUCCUGCAUUGACCAGACAAACCCAUCGACCAGCAUGAGGAGCAAACAUGAGUCUCGGUAAUCAAUUAAUACUUUCCGCAGCCAACUAAAUGCUAUUAUUUAGAAAUCUGCAAGCAUGGGUCGCGAACACAUACACCUCAGCGUACAUCUCACCGUCCUCUUUUUGCAACAUUGCAAAAACCUGUAUGUUAGAAAUGCUGACCGUACCGAACCGAACCCUCCCAUGCUCCCGAACCGCCCUCGCGCCCCCCCCUCCACCUUGAGUUUGCGGUCCACACUUCCAUCCGGCUCCCACGAGUACAACCCGAACUUCAUCGUGUAGCCCGUGGCCCAUUCUAGAUUGUCGAUCAGCGUCCUGUCAUGAAGGCCGUUGUGAGAGGGAAACGGGUUAGGUUGGGGGGAAUAACCCUCCAGGGAAGGUGGGGCUGGGGAGUUGAACGGGGCUAUUAGCACAGUGCCAAUACCCGCUGUAUCCUGCGAAAGGGCAAGCCGUGACAAGGUGCGACAUGUAGAAAUUAACCAUACAACGCCGGAAAUGCCCAAGCACAGCACAAAGAACUUUUGCGUGGGGGGUAUGGCGUUUUUCAAUGGUCAAUGCGCAAUGGAAAGCUCGGGAAAGCUUCAAUGGAAAGCUUGAGAGGUAUACUGCAACAGGGUGUCAUGAAGGAGGGUGGAGAAUGUAGAUCGGAGAACCGUGUAUGGAGCGGGGGCCCAAUCCGGCCCAACCGCGAAUCCAACAGUCUAACAAUAUGGACAGGCGAACAUGGCACCCCUGCUGCUGCAGCUUCUGCCAAUACCUAUAUACAAAACCUCACCAGUAGUAGAAACCACGGACGUCGUAGCCCUCGGCCACAGCGCGCAUGACCUGGGGCCAAACAGCAGACAGCCGCGGCAUUCGUUCAACACUCAGCCAAAAAUAUUAUUAUUAGUUAUAUUAUUGAAGCUCUCCACCGUCACCUACCUCCUUGAAGUACGCGUCGAUCAUAAUCGCACGCCGAUCAUCCCUGGAAUCCGCAAUUCCGGUUUCCGUGAUGUACAUUGGGAUACCGAAUUCGGAGCAUCUGCGGAGAGUGUGGGACAUGGAUAGGGGUAGGGGUAGGUGCGGCGCCACACGGGGCACAGGUGGUUGGAGACUAAGUCGUCACUAAAGGGGUGGAUUUUAUUAGAGCUCCCCGUUUUGCAAAAAGUAACUCGCAGGGAAGGAAUGUUUAAGUUGCGUAGUGAUAACAACAACGCGCUCUCCUGCACGGCUCCCACCGACGAUGAACCCAGACUGAAUAGGUCGCCAGUUCUAGCCCGCGCGACAACAUAGUACCCAUCAUGACAAAAAAUAAACUUUUCCCUCUCUUCCAUCUCUCUGCAAGCACAAUCCUUUUAAAUUUACAAUGCCACAAAUGUCCAAAUCCACUUUGUCACGAGUACGCCCAUAGGAUAACUAGCCACGGAUAUAUCCUCAAACGCGGGUAGAUGUGCACUUUCGAUUGACGCCCUAUAUGUGCUACAGACACCGCCGUACAAGUGCCGUACAUCCGUACCUCUUAAUCGCGCGGUACAUUCCCUCGGGGUAGAUGGGGUAGUACAUGUCCGUCAUGACUUCUUGAUGUCGGCAGCUCGGUAGCAAGUACCAGGAGAAAAUGCCGCGUGAAUAGUAGUUGAUGCCCCACCAGUCGCACGGUGGCUUGCCGGCUGGAUCCUUCCAUUGCUGCCACACACCCAGCACCGGAAGCUUCCACACGAACUCGCCCGUCAGCAUCCAAUGCUCCACGACGUCCCAGCCCCACCAAUACGUCAUCCAAUCGGACAGCAUCCUGCAGCGCGCGCGGCGCGGCGUAGGUUGAUUUCCCGAACCUACCGCCUAUUACAUCAACAGCUGCUUUACCCUUGGAUUUCAAUUCGUCAUGGUAAAGAAGGUCUGAAACUCCCGGCCCUCCCCCUUCACAAAACCUCCACACCCUUCCAUUUCUGUAUCUCCCCUCCACCCCUGGAGCUUACUUGGCGACACCGUGUAAGAUGCCGUCCGCUUCCGCCUCGAAGGUAAUGUGGUGGCUCACGAGUCCAACUUGGGCCUUAUCCCCGCCCGGCAUCGCCUUGAUGGCCCGGUACGCCUCCACGUGCGCCUUCAGCAUGGUGCUCAGCAUGCGACCCGCACCAGCCAGGUCGAAGAUGCGGCCCGGGGGUGCAAUGCCCACAAUGAAGCCCAGGAACAUGUAGCACUGCACGGUGGGGCAGUGCGUGUCAUUUUUAACGACAAACUCACGGUAAGGUGCAUCAUUGCCAUGAAUGGUGUUCGUGGAUGGUGUGCCGGAAGCGAGAGCGGAGCGGCGAAGGAGCAGCGCGAAAAGGAGGGCCAUGACUUGGCGUGGCGUGGCGUGGCAUGGCGAGGAAAAUUUUAUUUGCAGAGCUGAGACUUUCCUUUCACCUUAAUGCGACAUGGCAUGACGACGGGAAGCCGCAUAUGGCAGGAAGAGGGGGGAGGAAGCGUAACUGGCUGCUUUCCUUCAGGCUGUAUAAAUAAGGCUGAUCCUUCAGGCUGUUAGGCUGUAUAAACUACGUUGUAUAGAUCAGGCUAUAAAAAUUAGGCUGUGGAAAUGAGUCUGGUUGCUCCAUCAUGAUUUACUUUCCGGCGCCGGUAGCUGCCGUACCGUUACCUGUUCCGUGAAAUGCCAGGAGCAAGAUCCCGUUCGGGGAGUCCCGAGGGAGGGCCGCCUCUCCUUACAUAACGUGCCAUCUGCCCACUGUCACGCCCUGUCACGCCCACAGCCUGCAUCAACCCAACAAAACUGUAACUCUUCAGCCCCGGAAAAUCCCCUCCCAAGCCCUCCCCUUGCCGUACCGUGGGCUCGUUGAAUGUGGCCCACAACCGGAUUCUGGAUCCGAACCACUCGAAGCAGCGCUUGCUGUACUCCACAAACGCCGGUAUGUUUUCCUCCCGGGUGAACCCCCCCGCGUCCUCGAACCACGUGGGAUGUACGAAGUGCCACAGGGUUGCGUUGGGCUCCAGUCCGUGAGCCUCCAUGCAGUCCAACAUCUGGUGGUACCUGAGGGCGGGAAAGGGGGGUUGGAGGGUAAGGGUAAGGGGAGGGUAAGGGAGGGUAAGGGAAAGGGGAGGGGGAGGGGGAGGGAAAGACGAACCACGAGCGAGUGAAGCUGCUGCCAAGGAAAGAGUGCUGCGACAGAUAUACACAGGGGGUGGGGGAGAGGAGGGGGCUUCCUGGGUCGGAACCUCCGACACUCCGCCGGAUCCCACUCAAUCCAAUCCCGGCCCCCCGCACCUUCGUACGGCCUCCAUGUCGAUGACUCCGCGCUGCGGCUCGAUACGCGCCCAUUCAAAGGAAAAGCGCAACGUUGUGCUGCCAAUGUCAGCGGCCAGCUUAAUGUCUCGCUCAUAGCUACGAAAGAAUGCAAGCAAGGAUAGCGUGAGCCAUGUGUGCCGCGCGAAGAACAACCAGCUGUCAGCAUGUGCCAUGCUUCGCCCGGCAGCUCAAACUCACGCCCAAUACCGUUGUGUCGAGUAAAAGAUAAGUAGCAGGCCCGCAGCGGAUGCGCGUGUUGAGGUGCGCGUUGCUAUCGGGAUGUUGCGAUGUGGUGCGCGCAAGGAUUGACACUUUGGAACCAAAAAAGUUGUCGAAACCCAGAGACGAAACCCGGAUACUUUUACGGCUAAAGAAGUAACGUCAUACAAUGCAUGUCUGUCUGUGAACCUGGCUUGAUCCGCCCAUGCGUGUCUAAAGAUGUAACGCUCGGGUGUUAAGCGCGCAUCGCCGCGCAAGCAACGUACUUGUUCCAGAAAUCGCUGCAUGCGUCAAUAUUGUACUUUCCCCGAAUAGCUUUGACGCCAAAAUAGCGGAAUGGCCAAAGGCUGUUGGCAAAGCGGGUCCAGUUGGAUCCUCCAUCGCCCGAAUUUUGCCAUACGCUUAUCGCAGUGCCUUUCAGGAAGCGAAUCUUCUCAGUCAGCUCAUUUGUGGAGUCAUUCGUGUCUCCGUUCAUGACCGCUCCAGCACCAUGCAGGUUCAUUAAGUGACAAACACUUAAAGUAGACGAUAGGGAUGAUGUUAUAUUCGCCAGAAAGGGAAAGGGCCAAGAACAGGCUUACGCUGCUCCAGCGCAAUUCGUACAAUUUUAAAACUCCUCAGGCCUUUCAGAACACUCCGAGACAGACAUCAUGGCAGCAUAAUGAUAUCAUGUAGUAGAUCUUUCAUCCUAAACGUCCCCAAUAAUCAACUGUUAGCGCUGCUGCAGCAUAGCUUGUUCUGCGUCGAAGAUCUAAACCUAGAAAGAUAACUCACCGCGGUGCUGCGCUCUAUGAGCUUUGAAUCGUGUGACGCUUCUUGCAUAUGUGGUCUAAUGAUAGCCGGAAUGUGAAGUGUUGUUACUUCAACGCCAACAAGCUUGCCCGCAAGCACCUGUACAGGGCCUGUGGCCUUGGCCUAACCCCUAAGCAGUACUUAUCGUGGCGUUGUGGUUCGAGGUGACUUGCCCAAGGCGAGAGCCCGGUAGAUCCAGGCUCGGCGUUUGAACCGUGCACGGAGGAGAUGUUUUUCCUCGUGGCUCUCCCCCUUAGUCCACAAGUUUUUGCGCCAUGGGCUCCUCCCGUUUAAAGGGCUCUCGAGGCGCACGUGCAAUCCAUUCUCUAGUACGGUGUCCAGGUUUAGGACGCGGUAUUACAAGAGCGGCAAACAUCCAAGUCGCCCACUAGCGGUCCAAGUUUAGGAACCUGGUGCGGUGCUGCGCGUGUUGGAACGGAGCAACAUGCAAUCAAACGUCUUGCUUCAAAGUGUGCAAAUACUAUCCCUGAGAGGCAAGUUGCUUGGCAAGUAGCUUCAGCGCUUUCCUCUGGCACUUCCUUCCAUAUGGAAGAAAUCUUCUGCAUUUUAGCUGCAACAGUGGGCAACGGUGUAGCGUUGUAUCUUGCCGAGCAAACAACCGAGUCAUGUACCCCGUUUAGGUGAUGCACCUCUCCCAUGGUGCACGAGCACGGUAAUGUGCAAGACUUACGGCUUUGGUUUGCUUUCAGCUUUCUUUGUUUUUUCUUACUUUUCUUCUUCCUUCUGCUCGUAAGCCUCUUGCCUCGUCUGGACCGUAGAGUACACGCUUUUAACGAUAACGAAAACAAACAACGAUACGAACAGAGGGUAACCUGCUGCAGUGGGAAUUCUCGGACGUAUGAACAUCGAGACAACGGCCUCUCGUGCACGAUAAAGGCAAGGCCAAGGAAAAGUUAGACCGAUGACCAUUAUCGUUUCGACCCAGGGGUCGUUAUCUACGGAAGACAGCUGUCCAGAGUGCAGUUGCGUGAAGCUUCGAAGACCAGGCCAGGAAUACAAUUCCGACAAUUGUAAAUCUUUGUCGCUUUACUUCUCAAAAAGCUUUUAGACAUCUAAGCUGUUACACGCUGACCUUAAUUUCAAAGCCCUCAACUAAACCACUCAAAUGCUGCUUUCGCUGCUACACAGAGGAACCGGCGUCCUUUCAGUUCACAGUCCAACUGAAUCCGCACGAUCGAAACCAACAACAAUCUGUCUUGCUUCAAACCGCCAGCACACCAACAUGAAUGACACCCCUCCCGCCGCUCCAAUCAGCCCUACAACCGCAACUGCCAACGGGCCAACUAGCUGCACCGUCAGCGAGCAAACCCGGACGCCACAGAACGAACUUAACGGGCCCCCUAGCAACCUUCCAUCACCUCCAGCUACAGCGCCAACCACCCAAAACGACCUCCGCUACCGCUUCCUCAAAGGCGUCGGCAUUUCCGUCUGGCAAUGCUCCGGCGAUCUUGGAUCCAACUGGACGCGUUUCGCGAGGGGCCGCUGGCCGCUGCGGCACUUCGGCGUUCGGGCGGUGCGCGGCGGCGUUGGCAUGGAGAAAGCCAACGGCUUCUGGGACAGGUGCGGACAGGUGCUAGUAGAGGUGCGGACAGGUGCACUUUCAUCAUCGAUAGCGCAAAAGAGCACGAAAUGUACAAAGUCUCCCCCCAUCCAUCAGCUCGCAGAUCGCGGUGUAGACGGGCUCCUAAGCCUUGCGAGUCUAGCCGGAUUAAGGGCACUGUUGGGGCCACCCAAGCCUAGCCUUCAGCCCCACGGGGCACACGCGCCUUGCCUGAGUGAAUGCAUUUUGAUGCAGAUCUGGUGUAGCAGCUUAUGCGCGUGUGUGUAUAUAUGGGUAUGUGUGUAUGUAUGUGUAUGCAUGUGUGUAUGUGCGUAUGUAUGUACGUGUGUAUGUACGUGUGUAUGUACGUGUGUAUGUACGUGUGUAUGUACGUGUGUAUGUACGUGUGUAUGUACGUGUGUAUGUACGUGUGUAUGUGUUUGCCCCGACUAACGGCGGAGGCGCCAAAUCUACGAUAGUGUGACAUGCAUACAUACAUACAGAUCACUAGGGUUAGGCACUACUGGUAACGCGCGAUCAAUGCCCCCGGGAGAUCCCGGGAUCAAGACCUGUCAGGGUCGAUAAUGUCUCAUGUCGACAUCCCCGCAACCCCUGGCCGCCGGCCUCGAUCCCUGGCCCUGGCGGCCGUGCUUAUGGCUGUGUUCUCUGGCGUUAUCUGUCAGGUACGAGGAGGACAUCAAGUUAGCUGCUGACCUGGGGUGCACCUCCUUCCGCUUUUCCCUGGAGUGGGCGCGCAUCGAGCCCGAGCGCGGAGUCAUUGACAUGGAGGCCGUACGAAGGCGCGUGGUAGGGCUUUUAACAGCACGUGCUGACGCUGGCCUGCGUGGUGUGAUGGUUGUGCUGAUGGUGAUGAUGCUGGAUGCGGUUGCGCGCGUGUGUGUGGGGGUGGGUGGGGGGUGGGUGGGAAGGGUUUUUCAUGUUGGGUAUUUUUUCGCCCUUACCCUACCUUCCCUUCCCUACCUUCGUUGGGCAUCAGCCGGCAACUGAUCGCUCGUCUUGUGUCGUCGUCGUAACCAUCAUCAUUAUUAUCAUUACCAUCAUGUGUUUUCGGGUCGUGGGAGAUUUCGGGUCGCGGAAGAUCCUCUCCCCCUCCCCUUACCCUCCCCUUACCCUCCCCUUACCCUCCCCUUACCCACCCCUCAACCUCCCCUUACCCACCCCUCAACCUCCCCUUACCCUCCCCUUAACCUCCCCUUACCCACCCCUCAACCUCCCCUUAACCUCCCCUUAACCUCCCCUUACCCACCCCUUACCUCCCCCUCCCCUUACCAGAACGCCUUUUGGUCAGUUCUACUUCUGGUACACUCUUUCCUUGGCAGCAGCUUCACUCGCUCGUGGUUCGUCUUUCCCUCCCCUCCCCUUACCCUCCCCCUCCCCUUUCCCUUACCCUCCCUCCCCUCCCUUACCCUCCCCUUACCCUCCAACCCCCCUUUCCUGCCCUCAGGUACCACCAGAUGUUGGACUGCAUGGAGGCUCACGGACUGGAGCCCAACGCAACCCUGUGGCACUUCGUACAUCCCACGUGGUUCGAGGACGCGGGGGGGUUCACCCGGGAGGAAAACAUACCGGCGUUUGUGGAGUACAGCAAGCGCUGCUUCGAGUGGUUCGGAUCCAGAAUCCGGUUGUGGGCCACAUUCAACGAGCCCACGGUACGGCAAGGGGAGGGCCUGGAAGGGCCGGCACACGGUGACGGUGGGAGCGGCGAGGAGAUGUUGGUGUCGGGGAGUGCGCGGGGAGGUCAGGACAGGUCCUGGGGCGGGUGGGCCAAAGCAGGGACCAUGAGCCUUCGUAACAUCCCUUCUUGUCGCCUUUCCACACGUCGUUCCCUUCUAGCAAGCAACUGAAUACAUCAGCGUACAGAUAUCACCCCCCUCCACACACCACACGCACACGCACACGUGGGAGAGUGAGGCGCAGCGUCCCCAGCUGCGCUGCACCGGCGGGGCGGAGAGCGCUUGCCAGGAACCGCCAGGCUCUCCGCGUCUCUCCCACUACACCAGGUCGACACCGUGUCCGUCCCGACCCGGCCCGCCACGCUCUCCCCCACGCUCCCCUCCUGGCAGCAGCUUCACUCGCUCGUGGUUCGUGUUUUCCCCUUCCUCAAUUGAUUUACCUCGCUGUGGUAUCUGCUGCUUCACUCUUCUGUGGUUCGUCUUACCCCGUCCUGUCCCCGCUCGUUCCCACGCCCCCCGAACCGGGUGCUGCACCCCCGUCUGCACCAGUGCUACCUCCUACUCGGCUGGAUCAUCGGAAUCUCCCCUCCGGGCCAUUUCAUGAACGUGGCUGGUGCGGGUCGCAUGCUGAGCACCAUGCUGAAGGCGCACGUGGAGGCGUACCGGGCCAUCAAGGCGAUGCCGGGCGGGGAUAAGGCCCAAGUUGGCCUCGUGAACCACCACAUUACCUUCGAGGCGGAAGCGGACGGCAUCUUACACGGUGUCGCCAAGUAAGCUCCAGGGGUGGAGGGGAGAUAGAGGUUAAAAGCUUUCUCUCCGAGGCCUGCGAGACUGGGGUGGCUAUGGGGCACAUACGUAUAGGUCAUACUGGUCAGGCACUACUGGUAGAGCACGAACUGAUGCCCCCUGAGGUUCCGGGAUCGAAACCUGUUAGGGUCGGAUAUCUUUCCGAUGGUGAAAGUGCCCCUUAUCGGUGGAUGGUGGUGACCUGGGAUGACUUUCGAGCUGACCAGGAAUGGAGAUGAGCCGCCUCCGUUGAUCCGGCAGAUUCCGUUGGAUGCUGGUGGUGGGUGCGGAACCCGAGCGAUCCACUGAGAAGUUGACUAGGGUGACUGGAUGGGGAUGCCCCGAAAUACCAGGGAAGGCAGGGUUUCGCUGCCACGGGCGAAGAUACACCCCCCUGUUUCACACAUCAUACUAAAGGGGUUUAGGGUUCCGUUCCGCCUCUUUCGUCUCUUUUGGGAACGCGCACAGCAUCACCGCACCGUUAUCGCACCGUUAUCGCACCGUUAUCGCACCGCCGGUAUAAAUCGAUAAUCGACAAACCGGGAUGUGACGUUCCCCAGGUAACCCACCGGGAUUUUGGUUUUUUGGAUGAAUCCUUCUUGAGUUCCUUUUAUUGCGAACCGCUUCUUUGCCUGCAUGUACGGCAUGUACGGUAUCCGUUCCGCAAGCAGGGUGGUUGCGGAAUGGAUGACGUACUGGGUGGGUUGCAAUGUCAUGGAGCAUUGGAUGCUGACGGGCGAGUUCGUGUGGAAAGUGCCGGUGCUGGGUGUUUGGAAAAGGUGGCGCGACCCAGCCGGCAAGCCACCGUGCGACUGGUGGGGCAUCAACUACUAUUCACGCGGCGUAGUUAGCUGGUGUCUCACGCCCACACAUCGACAACAAGAAGUCAUGACGGACAUGUACUACCCCAUCUACCCCGAGGGAAUGUACCGCGCGAUUAAGAGGUACGGAUGUACGGCACUUGUACGGCGGUGUAGUACGGCACUCCGCGUGUGAUGAUAAAAAAAACCAUGUGGUCGCUGGGGUUAUUUCCUGCUAGCGAAGGGCAUGAGCUGCGAGCAUAAUAAGGCUAUUUCCUUUUGUGAUGUUGUUGUGUAGUGUUGCUGUGUAGAGGGUUUAGGUUGUUGUUUGCCAUAAACCGGGAGCUCUAAUAAAAUCCACCCCUUUAGUGACGACUUAGUCUCCAAUCACCUGUGCCCCGUGUGGCGCCUCACCUCCCCCUACCCCUACCCCUACCCCUGUCCCACACUGUCCGCAGAUGCUCCGAAUUCGGUAUCCCAAUGUACAUCACGGAAACCGGAAUUGCGGAUGCCAGGGAUGAUCGGCGUGCCGCUAUGAUUGAGGCCUACCUGCAGCAGGUGUGUACGGCGUUGUAUUACGACAAUAUGCGCACACGGUGGUGGUUAUGCUGUCUAAGCUCGCUCUCAUGUGUUGGGAGGCGCCGUGUGCCGUACGGCCGUACGGCCCCUCCUGGGCAUCAACCUCCCCCUCAUCCGCGACCCUCCGACAGCCACCUGCUGCCCCCCCCCUUACUACACACCUCGACCCUACGUCCUCUUGGUGCUCUCUCCCCCUCUCCACCGGCCCGCCUGGCCUCGCCUUCCCGCCUUUCCAACCGUCUCCCCAGUCCUCUCGCUCCCCCGGCCUCUGUUUUCCACGAUGCAUGUAUGUAUGUAUGUAUGUAUGUAUGUAUGUAUGUUACACCUUGAGCGCGGUAUCUGUGUGUAUGGAAGGGAGGGUUCAGCUGGUGUAUCGUCGUACCGUCGUAUGAUACGACUCGUAUCGUCAGCAUCCCCCUUGCAUGUUCUUUCGCUCGGGGGCAGGGGGCCAAGGAAUAAUAAUGUCUGGAGGAGCAAUGUCCCGACCUGCAGAUGUCCAUCCACCACACAGCCAGCCACCCACCCACCCAGUGCGAUGUACCAACGGGAAGAAGACAGCGAAGACAGCGAAAAGUAGAGGAAAAACUAUGUUACGUGUGUAAAUGUCUUCUACAUUUACGUUCUUUUGUGUGCUUGUGUGCUUGUGUCCAUGUCGUACCUUGAUCCAGUAGCUCCUCCCCUCCCCCGCAACUCCCCUCCCCUCCGCACCUAACCAGGUGCUCCACGCCAUUGCGGACGGCUGCGACGUGCGGGGAGUGUACUACUGGUGGGCAAUAACUGUCAUGUUUGUUGUUCGUUGUUCGUUGCGGUUUGAGUUGAGAGAAGAAAGGAAGCAUAAAAGCUGUUUCAAUUCAAAAGCAAGUUGAUCGUUGACGGUUGAGUUGGGAGUUAAUGUAGUAAUGUAGUGUUGCAUGCGUCAUGCGGUGUUUGGGUCGUCCUUUCUGCUGUCGUCCGGUUUGUGUGUGCGACAGGGCGCCAUAUCAUUAGCUCAUGAGAUCAUGGGCGAGAAAACGCUUCUUCUCGGCGGCCCUUGACCUUUGUGGCAUCUUUCCUUCUCCUUGCCCUAAACGCCCUGUUAAUCGCCAUCUCAUCAUCUCCAUCAUCAUUUCCAUCAUCAUUUCCAUCAUCACUCCAUCAUCAUCGCCAUCAUCAUCGUUGUCGGCUUAUCCGUCGCGCCUGGUGGGGCCUUACUAAACACUCAGGACGCUGGUGGACGCGUUGGAAUGGGCCACGGGCUACACGAUGAAGUUCGGGUUGUACUCGUGGGAGCCGGAUGGCAGUGUGGACCGCAAACUCAAGGUGGAGGGGGGGGGCAGCGAGGGCGGUUGGGGAGCAUGGGAGGGUUCGGUUGGGUUUGGUCAGCAUUUUUAACUUAAGAGUUUUGCAUACGGGUUUUGCUUAAAAAAACAGAGGGUGGGGAAAAACCUCCUCCCUCCCUUUUUUGUUUUAUUUUUAUUUUAUUUUUAUUUUUUAUUUUAUUAAAGGGACGAGGAGGGCGAGGAAAAACGCUUGGGAAUGCAGGGGAGAAAAGAUGGGUGGGCCUUUUGCGUUUCGUGGUCUGUGGUCUCCUUCCGUUUUCAAUCAACUCCCUUCCAAAGCUCUCCUGUCGCACUCCUCCCUAAGCCCCUUCUCACACCCCUGCGGCUCUGCCCUCUCGCACAUGCAUCCAUCAUGCAUCUGGGCCAUCCACCUUGAGACCGCGCUUGCAGGAGGGCAGCAUCGCACUAAAGCAGCUGUACCACAGGCUGCCGGACGCCUUGCCUGCGCUCCGUCGAGUCGCGCGCGAGCGCAUCAUGGCGCAAGAGCUCGAACGUGUGUCACACGGAGGGCGCUAGUACGGGCGCGGGUGGUGGGGGGGGUGCUAGUACGGAUAUGGAGGGUAGCAAAAGCAGCAGCGGCGGCGGUCCAGGACCACCAGGUUCUGGGGGAUGCAGCGGCGGCGCUGGAGUAGUAGUAGUAGUAGUAGUAGUAGUGCUGCGGCCGCAGUGGCGAAUGGUGGAUGGCUGGUGCAAGGCCGGAGGCAGAAUGGAUUUUGGGGCAAAUAAUUUUUUUUCUGAUUUUGUUUGCAUGCAUUAUCUGCAGGUGCAUCUGCUCUGCCGAAUAUUUGUUGCCAGUGCAUUCAUAGCACCGAUGCCUUAGCUAUAGCAGAGACCCCACGGCCGCGAUUCCGUGGUCAGUGAUGCGUAGUAGGUUUCUCAACAGUCUCGUUCUCUGCUUUACUCGGAAGCGUUUGUUGCCUAGACCCUCCUAGAGUUUCUCCUAGGCGCGAGGCAAAGCAAAGAGCCCCAAGGUGUUGUCUUGGACCUUAUUAUAAGCUUGGAGAGCUCUGGGCUGGGCGCGCUCGUGUUUGCCACACGUACAUACAUAUAACACUCUGAAGUCGGAUGGGGUGACGGAUUAGGGUGCCCCUCUAGCAGGGGAGAGCAGGGACUGCCCCGGGAAAGGGGGCCGCUGGCGAAGUUAACCACCCUGUAACAACAUACAUAACAAAGGAUUGUUG
This 36587-nucleotide long non-coding RNA is filed under the name Volvox carteri. Its description in RNAcentral is "long non-coding RNA (VCAR_LNC002651)". The record is from RNAcentral. Lineage: Eukaryota; Viridiplantae; Chlorophyta; Chlorophyceae; Chlamydomonadales; Volvocaceae.